RNAcentral lists this ribosomal RNA (483 nucleotides) under uncultured bacterium. RNAcentral's name for it is "bacterial SSU rRNA". It matches the Rfam family "Bacterial small subunit ribosomal RNA", at positions 15 to 518 of the family's 1533-position model. The record is from RNAcentral.
GAUCAUGGCUCAGGACGAACGCUGGCGGCGUGCUUCAUACAUGCAAGUCGAACGAUAAGGCACCUUCGGGUGUACAUAAGUGGCGGACGGGUGAGUAAUGUGUAGAGAAUCUGCCCUUAAGCGGGGGACAACAGCUGGAAACGGUUGCUAAUACCCCAUAUGAGCGUAGCUGAAAUGCUAUUCUUGAAAACUCCGGUGCUUAAGGAUGAGUCUGCAUCUGAUUAGCUAGUUGGGGGUGUAAUGGACCACCAAGGCGACGAUCAGUAGCUGGUUUGAGAGGAUGAUCAGCCACAAUGGGACUGAGACACGGCCCAUACUCCUACGGGAGGCAGCAGUAGGGAAUUUUGCGCAAUGGGGGAAACCCUGACGCCAGCAACGCCGCGUGAUUGAAUAAGCCCUUCGGGGUGUAAAGAUCUGUCAGUGGGGACGAAACUUGACGGUACCCACAGAGGAAGCAUCGGCUAACUCCGUGCCAGCAGCCGC